UGCAUCAUUUGACGUAGCGACAGAAGAAGCACGGGCUAACUCCGUGCCAGCAGCCGCGGUAAUACGGAGGGUGCGAGCGUUAUCGGAAUUACUGGGCGUAAAGCGCAUGCAGGUGGUUUGUUAAGUCAGAUGUGAAAGCCCGGGGCUCAAACCUCGGAAAUAGCAUUCGAAAAGGGGGCGCACAGAGUACAGUAGAGGGGGGUAGAAUUUCAGGUGUUGCGCUGUAAUGCGUAGAGAUAUGAAGGAAUACCGGUGGUGACGGCGGCCCCCGGGAUCGAUAUUGACACUAAGAUGCGAGAGCUUGGGGAGCAAUCAGGACAAGAUACCCUGGUGGUGCACGCCGUCAACGAUGUCUAUUAGGAGGUUGUGGCCAUGAGCCGUGGUCUUGGGAGAUAACGCGUUAAGUAGACCGCAGGGGGAGUACGGUCGCAAGAUUAAAACUCAAUGAAGCGAUGGGGUCCCGCACUAACGGUGGAGCCUGUGGUCUAUUUUGUUGCAACGCGAAGAACCUUCUUACUUUGACACAUAGAUAACUCUCUCAAGUCGGAUCGGUGCCUUAGGGAACUCUGAGACAGAUGGGCAUGGCUGUCGUCAUCUGUUGUUAAGAAAAUUUGGGUUAAGUCCCGCAACCAGCACAACCGUGUUCUUAGUGACCCAGCACUUUGGGCGGGAACUCCAGGGAGUCGGCCGGUGAAAAACCGGAGGAAGGUGGGGGUUAGGUCAGGUUUUCUUACCCGGUGAGUAGGGCUACACACAUGGUACAAGGCGCAUAGAGAGGGCAAGAGAGAAUAAAGAGUGAGUGAAUCCCAUAAAAUGUCCGGCGUCAUUCUGGGCAUUUGCAAUUUGACUAUGGGAAGUCAGGCCUGACACAAUC
RNAcentral lists this ribosomal RNA (874 nucleotides) under Vibrio harveyi. Its description in RNAcentral is "bacterial SSU rRNA". It matches the Rfam family "Bacterial small subunit ribosomal RNA", at positions 461 to 1342 of the family's 1533-position model. Lineage: Bacteria; Pseudomonadati; Pseudomonadota; Gammaproteobacteria; Vibrionales; Vibrionaceae. The record is from RNAcentral.